GGACCCGCACAAGCGGUGGAUGAUGUGGAUUAAUUCGAUGCAACGCGAAGAACCUUACCUACCCUUGACAUGUACGGAAGCCGGAUGAGAGUUCGGUGUGCCCGAAAGGGAGCCGUAACACAGGUGCUGCAUGGCUGUCGUCAGCUCGUGUCGUGAGAUGUUGGGUUAAGUCCCGCAACGAGCGCAACCCUUGUCACUAGUUGCUACGCAAGGGCACUCUAGUGAGACUGCCGGUGACAAACCGGAGGAAGGUGGGGAUGACGUCAAGUCCUCAUGGCCCUUAUGGGUAGGGCUUCACACGUCAUACAAUGGCGCAUACAGAGGGCUGCCAACCCGCGAGGGGGAGCCAAUCCCAGAAAGUGCGUCGUAGUCCGGAUUGCAGUCUGCAACUCGACUGCAUGAAGUCGGAAUCGCUAGUAAUCGCGGAUCAGCAAUGUCGCGGUGAAUACGUUCCCGGGUCUU
Molecule: ribosomal RNA, 462 nt
Filed under: uncultured bacterium
Lineage: Bacteria
Description: bacterial SSU rRNA
Rfam family: Bacterial small subunit ribosomal RNA
Source: RNAcentral